This 468-nucleotide ribosomal RNA is filed under the name uncultured bacterium. RNAcentral describes it as "partial 16S ribosomal RNA". It matches the Rfam family "Bacterial small subunit ribosomal RNA", at positions 28 to 507 of the family's 1533-position model. The record is from RNAcentral.
GACGAACGCUGGCGGCGUGCUUAACACAUGCAAGUCGAACGGAAAGGCCCUGCUUUUGUGGGGUGCUCGAGUGGCGAACGGGUGAGUAACACGUGAGUAACCUGCCCUUGACUUUGGGAUAACUUCAGGAAACUGGGGCUAAUACCGGAUAGGAGCUCCUGCUGCAUGGUGGGGGUUGGAAAGUUUCGGCGGUUGGGGAUGGACUCGCGGCUUAUCAGCUUGUUGGUGGGGUAGUGGCUUACCAAGGCUUUGACGGGUAGCCGGCCUGAGAGGGUGACCGGCCACAUUGGGACUGAGAUACGGCCCAGACUCCUACGGGAGGCAGCAGUGGGGAAUAUUGCACAAUGGGCGGAAGCCAGAUGCAGCAACCCCGCGUGCGGGAUGACGGCCUUCGGGUUGUAAACCGCUUUCGCCUGUGACGAAGCGUGAGUGACGGUAAUGGGUAAAGAAGCACCGGCUAACUACGUG